This 403-nucleotide ribosomal RNA is filed under the name bacterium. RNAcentral's name for it is "partial 16S ribosomal RNA". It matches the Rfam family "Bacterial small subunit ribosomal RNA", at positions 355 to 776 of the family's 1533-position model. The record is from RNAcentral.
UGGGGAAUAUUGCACAAUGGGGGAAACCCUGAUGCAGCGACGCCGCGUGAACGAAGAAGGUAUUCGUAUUGUAAAUUUCUGUCCUAUGGGAAGAUAAUGACAGUACCAUAGAAGAAAGCUCCCGCUAAAUACGUGCCAGCAGCCGCGGUAACACGUAUGGGGCGAGCGUUGUCUGGAAUUAUUGGGCGUAAAGGGUACGCAGGCGGUUUAAUAAGUCGAAUGUUAAAGAUCGGGGCUCAACCCCGUAAAGCAUUGGAAACUGAUAAACUUGAGUAGUGUAGAGGGAAGUGGAAUUCCUAGUGUAGUGGUGAAAUACGUAGAUAUUAGGAGGAAUACCAGUAGCGAAGGCGACUUUCUGGACUCAAACUGACGCUGAGGUACGAAAGCGUGGGGAGCAAACAGU